CCCUACGGGAGGCAGCAGUGGGGAAUAUUGCACAAUGGGGGAAACCCUGAUGCAGCGACGCCGCGUGAGUGAAGAAGUAUUUCGGUAUGUAAAGCUCUAUCAGCAGGGAAGAAAGGUGCCCCUUGGGCGCCUGGACGGUACCUGACUAAGAAGCCCCGGCUAACUACGUGCCAGCAGCCGCGGUAAUACGUAGGGGGCAAGCGUUAUCCGGAUUUACUGGGUGUAAAGGGAGCGUAGACGGCAUAGCGAGUCUGAAGUGAAAGCCCAAGGCUCAACCAUGGGACUGCUUUGGAAACUGUUAAGCU
RNAcentral lists this ribosomal RNA (305 nucleotides) under uncultured bacterium. RNAcentral's name for it is "bacterial SSU rRNA". It matches the Rfam family "Bacterial small subunit ribosomal RNA", at positions 337 to 642 of the family's 1533-position model. The record is from RNAcentral.